AUUGAACGCUGGCGGCAGGCCUAACACAUGCAAGUCGAACGGUAACAGGAAGAAGCUUGCUUCUUUGCUGACGAGUGGCGGACGGGUGAGUAAUGUCUGGGAAACUGCCUGAUGGAGGGGGAUAACUACUGGAAACGGUAGCUAAUACCGCAUAACGUCGCAAGACCAAAAAGGGGGACCUUCGGGCCUCUUGCCAUCGGAUGUGCCCAGAUGGGAUUAGCUAGUAGGUGGGGUAACGGCUCACCUAGGCGACGAUCCCUAGCUGGUCUGAGAGGAUGACCAGCCACACUGGAACUGAGACACGGUCCAGACUCCUACGGGAGGCAGCAGUGGGGAAUAUUGCACAAUGGGCGCAAGCCUGAUGCAGCCAUGCCGCGUGUAUGAAGAAGGCCUUCGGGUUGUAAAGUACUUUCAGCGGGGAGGAAGGGAGUAAAGUUAAUAUCUUUGCUCAUUGACGUUACCCGCAGAAGAAGCACCGGCUAACUCCGUG
Molecule: ribosomal RNA, 490 nt
Filed under: uncultured bacterium
Lineage: Bacteria
Description: partial 16S ribosomal RNA
Rfam family: Bacterial small subunit ribosomal RNA
Source: RNAcentral